UGAUCUAAGCAGCAUGAUUAAUAAUCAAGCCUUGAAAAGCUUCCCAUGUGACUGAAAAUCUUCCAAAUAUAGUGAAAGAACUGACCCAGAUUUGAACAUCUCAAUAGAUAUAAUACCCCCUAGGAACAGAGUUUGGUACUAACUGUUCAAACCAUACUGCACAUUAGAUUCAAUCUGCAGAAUCCAAAUUCAACACUGUGAAGGCUUUAUCCUGAAGCAACACUGAGGACCUUCCAUUUCUAUCACACCUAAGCUACUACUCAAGGCCUACAUAGUAAGGACAGAAGCCAUGCCCACUGACCCUCCAUAAAUAUUCCUAUGAGCUAGGCAAAGGAAGCACUGUCAUUUCAGUCUCGACAGGAAGAGGGUGAGAGGCCAAUAAGUAGAUAGAUUAGAAAACAACUCAGGAUAAUCAGGAAAUUCACUUGACCCCUUGAGUUGAUGGCUGUGAUAGCACUGGGAGUGGUGGGGGUGGCGGAGGUAAGGGCAACGGAGAGGGUGACAGGGACAAUGGUGGUAGAGGUC
This 525-nucleotide long non-coding RNA is filed under the name Homo sapiens (human). RNAcentral's name for it is "HSALNT0235200". The record is from RNAcentral. Lineage: Eukaryota; Metazoa; Chordata; Mammalia; Primates; Hominidae.